UACGUAGGGGGCAAGCGUUGUCCGGAAUCAUUGGGCGUAAAGCGCGUGUAGGCGGUUCGAUCAGUCUGCUGUGAAAGUCCGGGGCUCAACCCCGGAAAGCCGGUGGAUACUGUCGAGCUAGAGUGCGGAAGAGGCGAGUGGAAUUCCUGGUGUAGCGGUGAAAUGCGCAGAUAUCAGGAAGAACACCCGUGGCGAAAGCGGCUCUCUGGAACGGUACUGACGCUGAGACGCGAAAGCGUGGGGAGCGAACAGG
RNAcentral lists this ribosomal RNA (253 nucleotides) under uncultured bacterium. RNAcentral describes it as "partial 16S ribosomal RNA". It matches the Rfam family "Bacterial small subunit ribosomal RNA", at positions 524 to 776 of the family's 1533-position model. The record is from RNAcentral.